AAAGUUUCAUCCUUGUCUCCUUCUCUGCACCCUUUUAUAGGAACAUCAUCCAAAAAAAGCAUAGUCUUCUCUAGAAUAAAAUCUCUCAAUACCUUAUUCAUCCCAUUCAUCAUAUGCGCAACUGAGUUGGUCGCGCCUUGAGGAAGAGUGCACAUUCUAACCAAUCCAAGUGGUGUCCUCAUCGUCGUCAUAUCUCUACUUCCUUCG
Molecule: long non-coding RNA, 207 nt
Filed under: Physcomitrium patens
Lineage: Eukaryota; Viridiplantae; Streptophyta; Bryopsida; Funariales; Funariaceae
Description: long non-coding RNA (PPAT_LNC009701)
Source: RNAcentral